GACGAACGCUGGCGGCGUGCUUAACACAUGCAAGUCGAACGGAAAGGCCCUGCUUUUGUGGGGUGCUCGAGUGGCGAACGGGUGAGUAAAGCGUGAGUAAACUGCCCUUGACUUUGGGAUAAAUUCAGGAAAAUGGGGCUAAUACAGGAUAGGAGCUCCUGCUGCAUGGGGGGGGAUGGAAAGUUUCGGCGGUUGGGGAUGGACUAGAGGCUUAUCAGCUGGUUGGUGGGGUAGGGGAUUACCAAGGCUUUGACGGGUAGCCGGCCUGAGAGCGUGACCGGCCACCUGGGUACUGAGAGACGGCCCAGUCUCCUACGGGCGGCAGCAGUGGGGAAUCUUGCACAAUGGGCGGAAGCCUGAUGCAGCAACCCCGCGUUCGUGAUGCCGGCCUUCUGGUUGUAAACCGCUUUCUCCUGUGACGUAGCGUGCGUGACGGUAAUUGGUAAAGAAGCACCGGCUAACUACGUG
Molecule: ribosomal RNA, 468 nt
Filed under: uncultured bacterium
Lineage: Bacteria
Description: partial 16S ribosomal RNA
Rfam family: Bacterial small subunit ribosomal RNA
Source: RNAcentral